Molecule: long non-coding RNA, 1793 nt
Filed under: Homo sapiens (human)
Lineage: Eukaryota; Metazoa; Chordata; Mammalia; Primates; Hominidae
Description: HSALNT0313867
Source: RNAcentral
CAGGCAGGUCCUUCAAGAGGUAUUCAAGAAGAAAGCAUCGCUAUCAUAGGAGAUGACAGCUCCACCGGUGUUAUUGCCCUUGAAGACCUUUCAGUGGAACAAACUGUGGAGGUGGAAGACUGUGAUACUGAUGAUCCUGACCUCCUGAGAUCGCCCAAUGGGCUCAUAAACAAAAUGGCCAUGGUGGCAGAAACAGAGGUUAUGCAUGGGCUCAGCAACAUGGACUUCCACUCACCAGCUGACCUGACUAAAGGCACUGCCGAGUACCCAAUCUGCCAGCAGCAGAGACUAACAAUGAGUCCCUGAUGUGGCACCAUUCCCCAGGGUGAUCAGGAAGCUACCCGGUGGCAGGUUAAUUACAGUGAGCUGCUUCCAUUAAGGAAGGGGUUAUAUUUUGUUCUCACUGGAACAGACACUCUAUCUAGAUAUGGAUUUGCUUUCCCUGCAUGCAGUGAUUCUACUAAAACCACCAUCUGUGGACUUACAGAUUCACCUUAUCUACUGUCAUAGUAUUCCACACACCGUUGCUUCUGACCAAAGAACUCACUUCACAGCAAAGAAGUAUAGCAAUGGGCCCAUGCUCACGGAAUUCACUGGCCUUACUAUGUUCCCUACCAUCCAGAACCAGGUGGAUUGAUCGAACAAUGGAAUAGCCCUUUGAAGACUUAGUUAUAGCACCAGCUAGGUGGCAAUACCUUGCAGGGCUGGGGAAGGUUCUUCAGAAGUCCGUACAUGCUCUUAAUCAGUAUCCAAUACAUGGCAUGGUUUCUCUGAUAGCCAGGAUUCAAGGGCCCAGGAAUCAAGGGAUGGAAAUGAGAAUGGUACACUAUUACCCCUAGUAAUACCACUAGCAAAAUUUUGGCUUCCUGUUCCCAUGACUUUAUGCUUUACUAGCCUAGAGGUCUUAGUUCCAGAGGGAAGAAUGCUUUCACCAAGAGACAUAAUGAUUCCACUUAACUGCAAGUUGACUGCUACCUGGCCACUUUCGGCUCCUUGUGCCACUGAAUCGAUGGCAAAGAAGGGAGUUAUGAGGCUAGCUUGGGGUGACUGAUCCUUCCUGCCAAGGGGAAACUGAACUACUACUCUACAUGAAGGAUAGUCAAGCGUCUACCAAAGUGCCUGUCCUAUCUCUGGAAGAAGUCUGCAUUUUGUGAUAAAAGUAGAAAACUCAAUCAACCUGUCAUCAGUUACGUAACUUAAAAGUUUCUCCAAAAGAAUCCUUUUCUACUUGGGAAGCACAAACAGCCAAAAGCAGCACUGGGGUUUUGACUGUCAAGGAGAUUAUUUGGACAUUAUGAAAAGGCAAAGAGAGAAACACUUCUGUAACUAUAACAAGACUAAAAAAGAAAAGCAAGAUGCAUUUUUAGAAGAAAUAAGUGGAUGACUCCUUGGACUGCAAGUGAGACUCAGCACAGGCUCAACAAGGAAAGAUGGUUGCUAAAUUACGAAUAAAAAGAGAGAGAUUUGUGGUUGCUUCAGAGAGAAAGUGGGAAGAACAGAAAGAAAAGGGGCAAAAGAAAAAAGCCCACAAGUCUGGGCCCUUCAUGGCGGACAGGCCAGUGAGCGGAAAUCGAGGUGGCAAACACACACGUCAGCGAGGGGAGCUAGAGGAUGAGGAAAACAACUGACAUUUAAAUAACGAACAUAAUAAGUAAUUUCAAUGUCCAGGUGAGUGAACCACAGAAUUACCUGUGUUUUGUCAAUCUGGUCAGAGCUAAGUUUCUAUAGUGAGUAACCACGAUAAUAAAUGCUCUCUCCUAUCCCUGAGCUGUCUAUUUAGAAAGAAUGCUUCA